AUCAACUUUCGAUGGUGGGAUAGAGGCCUACCAUGGUUUUAACGGGUAACGGGGAAUUAGGGUUCGAUUCCGGAGAGGGAGCCUGAGAAACGGCUACCACAUCCAAGGAAGGCAGCAGGCGCGCAAAUUACCCGAUCCCGACACGGGGAGGUAGUGACAAUAAAUAACAAUACAGGGCUCUUACGGGUCUUGUAAUUGGAAUGAGUACAAUUUAAAUCCCUUAACGAGGAACAAUUGGAGGGCAAGUCUGGCGCCAGCAGCCGCGGUAAUUCCAGCUCCAAUAGCGUAUAUUAAAGUUGUUGCAGUUAAAAAGCUCGUAGUUGAAUUUCGGGGUUCUACCGUCGGUCGGGCUAACAAGUCUGUACUGGUGUGUAGAAUUUCUACCUUCUGGGGAACUAUCAUGUUAUUAAUUUAGCGUGGUGGGAAACCAGGACCUUUACCUUGAAAAAAUUAGAGUGUUCAAAGCAGGCUUACGUCUGAAUACAUUAGCAUGGAAUAAUAGAAUAGGACGGUGGUCCUGUUUUGUUGGUUUCUGAAUCACCGUAAUGAUUAAUAGGGAUAGUUGGGGGCAUUAGUAUUCAAUUGUCAGAGGUGAAAUUCUUGGAUUUAUUGAAGACUAACUUCUGCGAAAGCAUUUGCCAAGGAUGUUUUCAUUAAUCAAGAACGAAAGUUAGGGGAUCGAAGACGGUCAGAUACCGUCGUAGUCUUAACCAUAAACUAUGCCGACUAGGGAUCGGACGAUGUUAACCUUUAUUGACUCGUUCGGCGCCUUACGGGAAACCAAAGUGUUUGGGUUC
RNAcentral lists this ribosomal RNA (797 nucleotides) under uncultured Scutellospora. Its description in RNAcentral is "SSU rRNA". It matches the Rfam family "Eukaryotic small subunit ribosomal RNA", at positions 314 to 1114 of the family's 1831-position model. Lineage: Eukaryota; Fungi; Glomeromycota; Glomeromycetes; Diversisporales; Gigasporaceae. The record is from RNAcentral.